This 253-nucleotide ribosomal RNA is filed under the name uncultured bacterium. RNAcentral describes it as "partial 16S ribosomal RNA". It matches the Rfam family "Bacterial small subunit ribosomal RNA", at positions 524 to 776 of the family's 1533-position model. The record is from RNAcentral.
CACGUAGGGCGCAAGCGUUGUCCGGAAUUAUUGGGCGUAAAGAGCUCGUAGGCGGUCUGUUGCGUCCGCUGUGAAAACUCGGGGCUUAACCCCGAGCCUGCAGUGGAUACGGGCAGACUAGAGGUAGGUAGGGGAGAAUGGAAUUCCCGGUGUAGCGGUGAAAUGCGCAGAUAUCAGGAGGAACACCGGUGGCGAAGGCGGGUCUCUGGACAGUUCCUGACACUGAGGCACGAAGGCCAGGGGAGCAAACGGG